Unclassified non-coding RNA from Bos grunniens (domestic yak), 295 nucleotides. It matches the Rfam family "Metazoan signal recognition particle RNA". From Rfam's summary of the family: The signal recognition particle (SRP) is a universally conserved ribonucleoprotein. It is involved in the co-translational targeting of proteins to membranes. The eukaryotic SRP consists of a 300-nucleotide 7S RNA and six proteins: SRPs 72, 68, 54, 19, 14, and 9. NCBI's taxonomy places the organism in Eukaryota, Metazoa, Chordata, Mammalia, Artiodactyla, Bovidae. The record is from Ensembl.
GCCAGAUGUGGUGGCACGUGCCUGUAGUCCCACCUGCUUGGGAGGUUGAGGCUGGAGGAUUGCUUGACCUCAGGAGUUCUGGGCUGUAGUGCACCGACCGAUCAGGUGUCUGCACUAAGUUUGGCGUAUGGACACCUCCCAGGAGCAGGAGACCACUAGGUUGCCUAAGUAGGGGUGAACUGGCCCAGGUCGGAAAUGGAACAGGUCAAAACUCCCAUGCUGAUCAGUAGUGGGGUCAUGCCUGUGAAUAGCCACUGCAUUCCAGCCUGGGAAACAUAGAGAGACUCUGUCUCUA